AGUCGGACGGGAUUGAGGAGCUUGCUUCUCAUGAGAGUGGCGCACGGGUGCGUAACACGUAUGUAACCUACCUUGUUCAGGGGGAUAGCCUCUCGAAAGAGAGAUUAACACCGCAUAAAAUCAAUUUAUGGCAUCAUAGAAUGAUCAAAUAUUUAUAGGAACAAGAUGGGCAUGCGGAACAUUAGCUAGUUGGUAAGGUAACGGCUUACCAAGGCUACGAUGUUUAGGGGAUCUGAGAGGAUGACCCCCCACACUGGUACUGAGACACGGACCAGACUCCUACGGGAGGCAGCAGUAAGGAAUAUUGGUCAAUGGACGCAAGUCUGAACCAGCCAUGCCGCGUGCAGGAAGACGGCCCUACGGGUUGUAAACUGCUUUUGUACCGGAAUAAACCUUUUCACGUGUGAGAAGCUGAAUGUACGGUAAGAAUAAGGAUCGGCUAACUCCGUGCCAGCAGCCGCGGUAAUACGGAGGAUCCAAGCGUUAUCCGGAUUUAUUGGGUUUAAAGGGUGCGUAGGUGGCCUAUUAAGUCAGGGGUGAAAGACGGUAGCUUAACUAUCGCAGUGCCUUUGAUACUGAUGGGCUUGAAUACACUUGAGGUAGGCGGAAUGUGACAAGUAGCGGUGAAAUGCAUAGAUAUGUCACAGAACACCAAUUGCGAAGGCAGCUUACUAAAGUGUUAUUGACACUGAGGCACGAAAGCGUGGGGAUCAAACAGGAUUAGAUACCCUGGUAGUCCACGCCCUAAACGAUGAAUACUCGAUGUUGGCGAUAUACGGUCAGCGUCUAAGCGAAAGCGUUAAGUAUUCCACCUGGGGAGUACGCCCGCAAGGGUGAAACUCAAAGGAAUUGACGGGGGCCCGCACAAGCG
This 871-nucleotide ribosomal RNA is filed under the name uncultured bacterium. RNAcentral describes it as "bacterial SSU rRNA". It matches the Rfam family "Bacterial small subunit ribosomal RNA", at positions 60 to 931 of the family's 1533-position model. The record is from RNAcentral.